CUCCUUACCGGGCAGGGGAGACACCGGAUCAGGACGGGGGUUCCCAGGGCGAGGCUCCCGGUGCACCGCGGUGUGCUGACCCUGCGAUUUCCCCAAAUGCAAUUUACAGCCAUAGUCGGGUGUGAUUGGAGGGGUGCCAGCCCCCCACCAGU
RNAcentral lists this small nuclear RNA (152 nucleotides) under Echinops telfairi (small Madagascar hedgehog). RNAcentral describes it as "U1 spliceosomal RNA (ENSETEG00000026110.1)". The record is from RNAcentral. Lineage: Eukaryota; Metazoa; Chordata; Mammalia; Afrosoricida; Tenrecidae.